Molecule: ribosomal RNA, 433 nt
Filed under: uncultured bacterium
Lineage: Bacteria
Description: partial 16S ribosomal RNA
Rfam family: Bacterial small subunit ribosomal RNA
Source: RNAcentral
AACGAACGCUGGCGGCAUGCCUAACACAUGCAAGUCGAACGAGACCUUCGGGUCUAGUGGCGCACGGGUGCGUAACGCGUGGGAACCUGCCCUUAGGUUCGGAAUAACUCCCCGAAAGGGGUGCUAAUACCGGAUAAUGUCUUCGGACCAAAGAUUUAUCGCCUUUGGAUGGGCCCGCGUUGGAUUAGCUAGUUGGUAGGGUAAAAGCCUACCACGGCGACGCUCCAUAGCUGGUCUGAGAGGAUGAUCAGCCACACUGGGACUGAGACACGGCCCAGACUCCUACGGGAGGCAGGAGUGGGGAAUAUUGGACAAUGGGCGAAAGCCUGAUGCAGCAAUGCCGCGUGAGUGAUGAAGGCCUUAGGGUUGUAAAGCUCUUUUACCCGGGAUGAUAAUGACAGUACCGGGAGAAUAAGCGCCGGCUAACUCCGUG